This 586-nucleotide ribosomal RNA is filed under the name Escherichia coli. RNAcentral describes it as "partial 23S ribosomal RNA". It matches the Rfam family "Bacterial large subunit ribosomal RNA", at positions 1 to 626 of the family's 2925-position model. Lineage: Bacteria; Pseudomonadati; Pseudomonadota; Gammaproteobacteria; Enterobacterales; Enterobacteriaceae. The record is from RNAcentral.
GGUUAAGCGACUAAGCGUACACGGUGGAUGCCCUGGCAGUCAGAGGCGAUGAAGGACGUGCUAAUCUGCGAUAAGCGUCGGUAAGGUGAUAUGAACCGUUAUAACCGGCGAUUUCCGAAUGGGGAAACCCAGUGUGUUUCGACACACUAUCAUUAACUGAAUCCAUAGGUUAAUGAGGCGAACCGGGGGAACUGAAACAUCUAAGUACCCCGAGGAAAAGAAAUCAACCGAGAUUCCCCCAGUAGCGGCGAGCGAACGGGGAGCAGCCCAGAGCCUGAAUCAGUGUGUGUGUUAGUGGAAGCGUCUGGAAAGGCGCGCGAUACAGGGUGACAGCCCCGUACACAAAAAUACACAUACUGUGAGCUCGAUGAGUAGGGCGGGACACGUGGUAUCCUGUCUGAAUAUGGGGGGGCCAUCCUCCAAGGCUAAAUACUCCUGACUGACCGAUAGUGAACCAGUACCGUGAGGGAAAGGCGAAAAGAACCCCGGCGAGGGGAGUGAAAAAGAACCUGAAACCGUGUACGUACAAGCAGUGGGAGCACGCUUAGGCGUGUGACUGCGUACCUUUUGUAUAAUGGGUCAGCGA